GUUUGAGGAGCAUUGCUUCUCAUACAGUAAGGUUUCCCAACAGUGAUGUCACAAGAUUGACCACAUUGAUCACAGUAAGACCAAAAUGAUAGUUAAGCUUUUAAGGAAGUUUGGUUUUCUCUGAGAAUGAGAAUUGACUUAGAAAACAUAUAUAAUUUGAAAUUAUUAUUUCUUUUGCUAGCCAGUUGAAUGUUAACAUUUUAAAUGAAUCAUAUCUUAUACUUCUAGCUAGUUAUUUAAAUACUUUUAAAAUAUUACUUUAAAGGAUUUAAAAAACAUUUAAAAUGAAAAUUACUUUUAAUUUACAACUGAAAUUACAGGCCUAAAUAUACUAAAUUAUUUCAGUGUGACUUAAAUUCUGAACGUCAUCUUUUUUGAGUUUUUAUUUUUACCAGAAAAUGACAGAAAGGUUAAGGUGAUUCCACAUUAGGAAAUAUAUAUAAAAGUAAAUUAC
Molecule: long non-coding RNA, 454 nt
Filed under: Homo sapiens (human)
Lineage: Eukaryota; Metazoa; Chordata; Mammalia; Primates; Hominidae
Description: non-protein coding lnc-BAZ2B-1:18
Source: RNAcentral